GGGCUGUGAUUACAAAGAGAGAGGAUUGAGUGGGGUUUUCCCUUGUCGAAGUUUGGAGAGAAGAUUGAAGAUCGAGAUUGAUAUAUUAAGAUUCGGGGAUGAAUCGAAACUUGCUGCCCCCUUGUUUGUUGCAAGGGCUGGCUUAUGGCAGCUUGUGAAUUUGCCCCAAAUCAAUUUCAUCUCUUUUGUAUUCUCUUCUCUUUCUUCGAUCUGGAUCUUUCCCACUAUGACUACCUUUUUAAAUUUACACUUGAUAUGAGCUCC
Molecule: small nucleolar RNA, 264 nt
Filed under: Olea europaea subsp. europaea
Lineage: Eukaryota; Viridiplantae; Streptophyta; Magnoliopsida; Lamiales; Oleaceae
Source: RNAcentral